CACGUAGUUAGCUGGUGCUUAUUCUGCAGGUACCGUCAUUCAGCCCAGGUAUUAGCCAGGCCUAUUUCUUUCCUGCCAAAAGUGCUUUACAACCCGAAGGCCUUCAUCGCACACGCGGGAUGGCUGGAUCAGGGUUUCCCCCAUUGUCCAAAAUUCCCCACUGCUGCCUCCCGUAGGAGUCUGGGCCGUGUCUCAGUCCCAGUGUGGCUGGUCGUCCUCUCAAACCAGCUACGGAUCGUCGCCUUGGUAGGCCUUUACCCCACCAACUAGCUAAUCCGACAUCGGCCGCUCCAAUAGCGAGAGGUCCCGAAGGAUCCCCCCUUUCCCCUAAGGGCGUAUGCGGUAUUAGCCACGCUUUCGCGUGGUUAUCCCCCAUACUGGGUACGUUCCGAUGCAUUACUCACCCGUUCGCCACUCGCCGCCAGGCCGAAGCCCGCGCUGCCGUUCGACUUGCAUGUGUAAGGCAUCCCGCUAGCGUUCAAUCUGAGCCAGGAUCAAACUCU
This 503-nucleotide ribosomal RNA is filed under the name uncultured Alcaligenaceae bacterium. RNAcentral describes it as "partial 16S ribosomal RNA". The record is from RNAcentral. Lineage: Bacteria; Pseudomonadati; Pseudomonadota; Betaproteobacteria; Burkholderiales; Alcaligenaceae.